AUGAGGUUCCCUGCUCAGCUUCUGGGUCUACUGGUGCUCUGGAUUCCAGGAGCUAAAGGUGAUAUUGUGCUGACCCAGAGUCCACUUUCUCUGUCCGUCGUCCCCAGAGAACCUGCCUCCAUCUCCUGCAAAUCUAGUGAGACUCUGCUGCACAGUAAUGGAAACACCUAUAUUUACUGGUUCCAUCAGAAACCAGGAGAGUCCCCAAAACUCCUGUUCUAUUUAAAUUCUAAUCGGCAACCUGGGGUCCCAGACAGAUUCAGUACCAGUGGGUCAGGGACUGAUUUCACUCUUAAAAUAAGUAGAAUGGAGCCUGAGGAUGUUGGAGUUUACUACUGUUUUCAAGCUAUAAAGAAUCCUCACACAGUGAUUUAG
Molecule: non-coding RNA, 375 nt
Organism: Suncus etruscus (white-toothed pygmy shrew)
Lineage: Eukaryota; Metazoa; Chordata; Mammalia; Eulipotyphla; Soricidae
Source: the annotation of a RefSeq genome assembly